AUCAUACUGUGAAACUGCGAAUGGCUCAUUAAAUCAGUUAUCGUUUAUUUGAUAGUACCUUUACCUGGAUAACCGUGGUAAUUCUAGAGCUAAUACAUGCUAAAAACCUCGACUUCGGAAGGGGUGUAUUUAUUAGAUAAAAAACCAAUGCCCUUCGGGGCUCCUUGGUGAUUCAUAAUAACUUAACGAAUCGCAUGGCCUUGCGCCGGCGAUGGUUCAUUCAAAUUUCUGCCCUAUCAACUUUCGAUGGUAGGAUAGUGGCCUACCAUGGUCUCAACGGGUAACGGGGAAUUAGGGUUCUAUUCCGGAGAGGGAGCCUGAGAAACGGCUACCACAUCCAAGGAAGGCAGCAGGCGCGCAAAUUACCCAAUCCCAACACGGGGAGGUAGUGACAAUAAAUACUGAUACGGGGCUCUUUCGGGUCUCGUAAUUGGAAUGAGUACAAUCUAAAUCCCUUAACGAGGAACAAUUGGAGGGCAAGUCUGGUGCCAGCAGCCGCGGUAAUUCCAGCUCCAAUAGCGUAUAUUAAAGUUGUUGCCGUUAAAAAGCUCGUAGUUGAACCUUGGACCUGGCUGAUCUGUCCUCCUAAUCGAGCGCACGGAUUCGGUCGGGUCUUUCCUUCUGGGGAGCCCGAUGCCCUUCACUGGGUGUCGUGGGGAACCAGGACUUUUACCUUGAAAAAAUUAGAGUGUUCAAAGCAGGCCUUUGCUCGAAUACAUUAGCAUGGAAUAAUAGAAUAGGACAUCGGUUCUAUUUUGUUGGUUUCUAGGACCGCUGUAAUGAUUAAUAGGGAUAGUCGGGGGCGUCAGUAUUCAAUUGUCAGAGGUGAAAUUCUUGGAUUUAUUGAAGACUAACUACUGCGAAAGCAUUCGCCAAGGAUGUUUUCAUUAAUCAGUGAACGAAAGUUAGGGGAUCGAAGACGAUCAGAUACCGUCGUAGUCUUAACCAUAAACUAUGCCGACUAGGGAUCGGACGGUGGUUUUUUUAUGCCCCGUUCGGCACCUUACGAGAAAUCAAAG
This 1019-nucleotide ribosomal RNA is filed under the name Veronaea botryosa. RNAcentral's name for it is "SSU rRNA". It matches the Rfam family "Eukaryotic small subunit ribosomal RNA", at positions 73 to 1103 of the family's 1831-position model. Lineage: Eukaryota; Fungi; Ascomycota; Eurotiomycetes; Chaetothyriales; Herpotrichiellaceae. The record is from RNAcentral.